GCCAGGCAUGGUGGUGAGUGCCUGUAAUCCCAGCUACUUGGGAGGCUGAGGCAGGAGAAUUGCUUGAACCCAGGAGGUGGAGGUUGCAGUGAGUGGAGAUUGCACCACUGCACUCCAGCCUGGGUAACAGAGUGAGACUCCGUCUCAA
This 148-nucleotide non-coding RNA is filed under the name Pan troglodytes (chimpanzee). The record is from Rfam by way of RNAcentral. Lineage: Eukaryota; Metazoa; Chordata; Mammalia; Primates; Hominidae.